UUCCCCGUGGGCGCGUGGUAUUCCUGGUGGCUGGGCAGCGCCCCCAGCCCACCCGCAGCGCGAGGGCCGUGCUGCGGUUACCCCAGCUGCGGGAGGCGAGGGGGCGCAAGACCCGACGCCCCGCCCCGUCCCUGGAAGCCCCGCCCACCCGGACCCCCGCCCCGCCCUCCCUGCCUCCCGCGCCGCUGCCGCCGCUGCUGCCGCGGGGUGGCUGGGCUGCGGUGGGCGCAGCUGGGGCGCGGCUCCGAGCCGAAGCUAGGGCAACGCGCCAGGCCCGAAGCCGAGCGGGGCUGGGCCACCCCCGCCGCGCCUGCUUGCCCGCCCGGGAUGCGGCGCUGAGGCCCAGCAUGGCCGGCCCGGGUCCCACCUUCCCGCUGCACCGGCUCGUCUGGGCAAACCGGCACCGUGAACUGGAGGCCGCGCUGCACAGUCGCCAGCACGACAUUGAACAGGAGGACCCCCGAGGUCGGACCCCCCUGGAACUGGCUGUGUCCCUGGGGAACCUGGAAUCUGUGAGAGUCCUCCUUCGACACAAUGCCAACGUGGGCAAAGAGAGCCGCCAGGGCUGGGCAGUCCUGCAGGAGGCAGUCAGCACUGGAGACCCAGAGAUGGUGCAGCUGGUGCUCCAGUACCGAGACUUUCAGAGGGCCACUCAGAGGCUAGCUGGCAUUCCAGAGUUGCUCAACAAACUCCGCCAGGCACCUGAUUUCUACGUGGAGAUGAAGUGGGAGUUCACCAGCUGGGUGCCCCUUGUGUCCAAGAUGUGUCCAAGUGAUGUGUACCGCGUGUGGAAGCGGGGGGAGAACCUGCGGGUGGACACCAGUCUCCUGGGGUUUGAGCACAUGACCUGGCAGCGUGGCCGGAGAAGCUUCAUCUUCAAGGGCCAGGAGGCAGGAGCCCUGGUGAUGGAAGUGGACCAUGACCGGCAGGUGGUGCACACGGAGACACUAGGGCUCGCUCUGCAUGAGCCUGAAGCACUGCUGGCCGCCAUGCGGCCCAGCGAGGAACAUGUGGCCAGUCGCCUCACCUCCCCUAUCGUCUCCACCCACCUGGACACUCGCAAUGUGGCCUUUGAGAGGAACAAGUGUGGCAUCUGGGGAUGGCGGUCGGAGAAGAUGGAGACUGUCAGCGGCUACGAGGCCAAGGUGUACAGUGCCACCAACGUGGAGCUGGUGACACGCACACGCACGGAGCACCUCUCUGAUCAGGACAAGUCGAGGAGCAAAGGGGGGAAGACUCCGUUCCAGUCCUUCCUGGGGAUGGCCCAGCAGCACUCCUCCCACAGUGGGGCUCCUGUGCAGCAGGCAGCCAGCCCCACCAACCCUACAGCUAUUUCCCCCGACGAAUACUUUGACCCCAGCUUCAGCCUGGAGUCCAGAAACAUCGGGCGCCCCAUCGAGAUGUCCAGCAAAGUACAGAGGUUCAAGGCCACACUGUGGUUGAGUGAGGAGCAUCCCCUUUCCCUGGGUGACCAGGUGACGCCCAUCAUUGACCUGAUGGCCAUCAGCAAUGCUCACUUUGCCAAGCUACGUGAUUUCAUCACCCUGCGCCUCCCACCUGGCUUCCCCGUCAAGAUCGAGAUACCCCUCUUCCACGUGCUGAAUGCCCGCAUCACCUUUAGCAACCUGUGCGGCUGUGACGAGCCCCUGGGCUCCGUGUGGGUGCCUGCCCCCAGCGCUGCCGUGGCCGCUUCAGGGAGCCCUUUCCCGUGUGAGGUAGACCCCACCGUGUUUGAGGUGCCCGAGGGGUACAGCGUGCUGGGCGCAGAGCGCAGCGAGCCCCUCCGAGACGAAGAUGAUGACCUGCUGCAGUUUGCCAUCCAGCAGAGCCUGCUUGAGGCGGGCACAGAGGCUGAGCAGGUGACUGUCUGGGAAGCCCUGACCAACACGCGUCCCGGCACUCACCCUCCUCCGCAAGACGCGGUGUAUGAGGAGCAGCUUCAGCUGGAGCGGGCUCUCCAGGAAAGCCUGCGGCUGUCCACAGAGUCCAGGGGUCCAGGAUCCCCUCAGAGGACACCCCCAUCCCCUGUCCCUCCGAGCUUUGAGGAGCAACUGCGACUGGCCCUGGAGUUGUCUUCUCGGGAGCAGGAAGAGCGGGAGCGGCGGGGACAACAGGAGGAGGAGGACUUACAGCGGAUCCUGCGGCUGUCGCUCACUGAGCACUGAGCCGCCAGGUCCUGGGAGAAUGUCCCAAGACACUCCCUCCACCUGCUUUUCUUUUGUGAGCCUCCAUUUCUUUACCUGUCAGUGAGGAGACCACUUCUACCCCCAACACACCUGUCAGGCCUACAGAGCAGGUACUGCAUAAACAAUUCCCCUGAGCCCUGCCCCACUUACUGCAGACCCAGGUUCCUCCUGCCAUCAGCCCUGGCCUUCCUGAAACCCGGCCCAUACUCUGGAAAAAAGAGGAAAGGCCGGGUCUCCAGACCUACUCAGCCCCCAUUUCCUACCCUGACUCUAGCUUGUGCCAUCAGAGUGACUUUGGGCAAGUCACUUCCCUCUGCAGCUGUAAAACAGGCUUAUCCCUGCCCGCCUCCAAGUUGGAACUGAGAAAGUGUCGGGAGCUUCCUGGGCAAUUUCUGCAUCCAACCGCAUUUCUCUGGAAACUCGCGCCUCCCAAAUAUCCAUGCAAAGUGGAGGCGUGAAGGCCAAGCAGAAAAAAGGAAUGUUUGGGGUGGAAUUCCUC
RNA transcript from Sciurus carolinensis (gray squirrel), 2685 nucleotides. It is a transcript of the gene named ankyrin repeat domain 13D, with no coding region annotated. The transcript is spliced from 16 exons. NCBI's taxonomy places the organism in Eukaryota, Metazoa, Chordata, Mammalia, Rodentia, Sciuridae. The record is from RefSeq and is a predicted model, not a curated record.